UCCAUUCAAAUGGCUUUGGUUGAUGUGUAACGUUAUUUGAAGAUAGGGAAAGUGUACAGUAAUAAAAUGCAAACACAACAAAGACACUUAAUAUAGGUGUAACUCUCCACCAAACAAAGAAAAAGAAACGCACUACUUAGUGUCUACAUACGCUUAUUUGAACCUUAGAAUUUCUUCCCACUGCUUUAUUACCUCUGCUGCCCCUAUCUGUCAAAUAAAAAUCUUGAAUGAAUAGACAUAAAACUGAACACACUAAAGAGAGAAGUUAGCAAACAUCACCAGAAAAGUUCUUUCUCUCUUGGUGGGGUGGGUGGGUGUAGGUAGGUGGAAUGAAGAGGCUUUCUUGGACUCUUCUGCCAAACAAUGUUGCAUAUGCAUAGACCCUUCACAAGUGUUGGAUAAGAAGAAUAGAAAUAAAUAAUAGGAAAAAUUACCUACUGUAUGUGAA
Molecule: long non-coding RNA, 448 nt
Filed under: Capsicum annuum
Lineage: Eukaryota; Viridiplantae; Streptophyta; Magnoliopsida; Solanales; Solanaceae
Description: long non-coding RNA (CANN_LNC009842)
Source: RNAcentral